CUCGUAGUUGGAUCUCGGUGCCGGUCUGGCGGUCCGCCUCGCCCCGGUCUCACUGCCAGUCCCGGAGCCAUCCCGCCGGCCUUCCCUCGGUGCUCUUUACCGAGUGUCUUGGGUGACCGGAACGUUUACUUUGAACAAAUUAUAGUGCUCCAAGCAGGCGCGUCCCGCCCGCAUAGCCCAG
Molecule: ribosomal RNA, 181 nt
Filed under: Craterostigmus tasmanianus
Lineage: Eukaryota; Metazoa; Arthropoda; Chilopoda; Craterostigmomorpha; Craterostigmidae
Description: partial 18S ribosomal RNA
Source: RNAcentral